RNAcentral lists this ribosomal RNA (338 nucleotides) under Dermacentor andersoni. Its description in RNAcentral is "partial 12S small ribosomal RNA subunit". The record is from RNAcentral. Lineage: Eukaryota; Metazoa; Arthropoda; Arachnida; Ixodida; Ixodidae.
AUUAUUUAUGAAGCUAAACAUUGUAAGUAAAUGUUAAUUAUGAAAGCAAAAAAUUAUGGCGGUAUCUUAAGCUUUUCAGAGGAAUUUGCUCUAUAAUGGAUAAAACGCCUAAACCUUACUUUGACUAGUAAAAUCAAUUUGUAUACCACUAUUAAAAUAAUAACAUACAACUAUUAUUUCAAUAUAAUUUAUAUAAAAAAUUAAGUCAAGGUGCAGUAAAAGUCAAUGAAUGAAGUGAAUUACAUUUCUUUUUAGAAAAGAAAAAUGAAAAGUAAAUUAGGAUUUGAAAGUAAAAUUAAAAUAAAAUGUUAAUUUGAAUUAAGCUCUAAGAUAUGUAC